AAAUUGAAGAGUUUGAUCAUGGCUCAGAUUGAACGCUGGCGGCAGGCCUAACACAUGCAAGUCGAACGGUAGCACAGAGAGCUUGCUCUCGGGUGACGAGUGGCGGACGGGUGAGUAAUGUCUGGGAAACUGCCUGAUGGAGGGGGAUAACUACUGGAAACGGUGGCUAAUACCGCAUAAUGUCGCAAGACCAAAGAGGGGGACCUUCGGGCCUCUUGCCAUCAGAUGUGCCCAGAUGGGAUUAGCUAGUUGGUGAGGUAACGGCUCACCAAGGCGACGAUCCCUAGCUGGUCUGAGAGGAUGACCAGCCACACUGGAACUGAGACACGGUCCAGACUCCUACGGGAGGCAGCAGUGGGGAAUAUUGCACAAUGGGCGCAAGCCUGAUGCAGCCAUGCCGCGUGUAUGAAGAAGGCCUUCGGGUUGUAAAGUACUUUCAGCGGGGAGGAAGGUGUUGUGGUUAAUAACCUCAGCAAUUGACGUUACCCGCAGAAGAAGCACCGGCUAACUCCGUGCCAGCAGCCGC
Molecule: ribosomal RNA, 526 nt
Filed under: Salmonella enterica
Lineage: Bacteria; Pseudomonadati; Pseudomonadota; Gammaproteobacteria; Enterobacterales; Enterobacteriaceae
Description: bacterial SSU rRNA
Rfam family: Bacterial small subunit ribosomal RNA
Source: RNAcentral